RNAcentral lists this long non-coding RNA (217 nucleotides) under Phoenix dactylifera (date palm). RNAcentral's name for it is "long non-coding RNA (PDAC_LNC006349)". Lineage: Eukaryota; Viridiplantae; Streptophyta; Magnoliopsida; Arecales; Arecaceae. The record is from RNAcentral.
AAUUCGUAGUCUGAAUUUCAGAAAUCCUGCACCGUUGGAUCUGCUCCAUAUCCUACGUGGAGUUACGGGAGAGGCGCUCAAUGUGUUGUUUUUGAGCUCUUUUAUUGAAAAAGAUUUUUCCACCACCUUAUGUUAUGAUCAGAGAAUUAAUAAAAUUAUGUAGCCAUUUCUAAUGCUAUCCCUUUUUUUCAAGAAUAUUUGGAUAAUCCAACACGUC